UCAUGGGUCGAUGAAGACCGCAGCAAACUGCGCGUCGCCAUGUGAACUGCAGGACACAUGAUCAUUGACAUGUUGAACGCAUAUUGCGCUUUAUACAUUUGGUUCUUACUUUUUAAUUUUUAAUAUUAAAGUUGAACUGUGUAAAGCACAUAUGGUUGAGUGUCGUAAUUUAUAUAAAUUUCAACUAUUAAACAAAUGCAUACAUACAUAUGUAUAUGUAUAUGUAUGGAUGCUAUUUGUACAAUUAGAUGUCAUUAAAGAGUCUUCUCUUCAUUAUUGCUGCUGAGAGGCAUUUAUGACUAAAAUUCAGAAAUGACAGUUUACGCCUUUCAUUCGACAAGAGUGAGAGAACAAAAGAUGCAAAUUUCAUAAAUUUAUUUUAUGGAAAAAAGUGUAUGUUUACAUUUCUCUUUGGCGCCAACUUUACAUUGUUGUUGUUUUUUGAAAGAAAACAUACAUACAUAUGGGUAUUGAUUGAUUGCUAAAAAUGUAAGCAGAAUUUUUCAUAUAUGAUGAAAUAUAUGUAUCUUUUGAGUAAAAUUUUUGUGUGUAGCAACUAGAGAGAGAGAGAGAGAGAAAGAAAAUUACGCGACCUCAA
Molecule: ribosomal RNA, 598 nt
Filed under: Polypedilum kasumiense
Lineage: Eukaryota; Metazoa; Arthropoda; Insecta; Diptera; Chironomidae
Description: eukaryotic LSU rRNA
Rfam family: 5.8S ribosomal RNA (bases 1-165)
Source: RNAcentral